This 497-nucleotide ribosomal RNA is filed under the name uncultured bacterium. RNAcentral's name for it is "partial 16S ribosomal RNA". It matches the Rfam family "Bacterial small subunit ribosomal RNA", at positions 28 to 507 of the family's 1533-position model. The record is from RNAcentral.
GAUGAACGCUGGCGGCGUGCCUAAUACAUGCAAGUCGAGCGAACGGACGAGAAGCUUGCUUUUCUGAUGUUAGCGGCGGACGGGUGAGUAACACGUGGAUAACCUACCUAUAAGACUGGGAUAACUUCGGGAAAACGGAGCUAAUACCGGAUAAUAUUUUGAACAGCAUGGUUAAAAAGUGAAAGACGGUCUUGCUGUCACUUAUAGAUGGAUCCGCGCUGCAUUAGCUAGUUGGUAAGGUAACGGCUUACCAAGGCAACGAUGCAUAGCCGACCUGAGAGGGUGAUCGGCCACACUGGAACUGAGACCCGGUCCAGACUCCUACGGGAGGCAGCAGUAGGGAAUCUUCCGCAAUGGGCGAAAGCCUGACGGAGCAACGCCGCGUGAGUGAUGAAGGUCUUCGGAUCGUAAAACUCUGUUAUUAGGGAAGAACAUAUGUGUAAGUAACUGUGCACAUCUUGACGGUACCUAAUCAGAAAGCCACGGCUAACUACGUG